Molecule: ribosomal RNA, 489 nt
Filed under: uncultured bacterium
Lineage: Bacteria
Description: bacterial SSU rRNA
Rfam family: Bacterial small subunit ribosomal RNA
Source: RNAcentral
GAUGAACGCUAGCGACAGCCUAACACAUGCAAGUCGGAGGGGCGAGCACAUGAGUAGCAAUACGAUGGUGGCGACCGGCGCGACGGUGAGUAACACGUAUGCACCUGCCUUCUACUAUGGGAUAACCCGUUGAAAGACGGACUAAUACCGUAUAAUACAGGGGCUCCGCAUGGAGAUAUUUGUUAAAGAUUUAUUGGUAGAAGAUGGGCAUGCGUAUGAUUAGAUAGUUGGUGAGGUAACGGCUCACCAAGUCAACGAUCAUUAGGGGUUCUGAGAGGUAAGGUCCCCCACACUGGUACUGAGACACGGACCAGACUCCUACGGGAGGCAGCAGUGAGGAAUAUUGGUCAAUGGACGAGAGUCUGAACCAGCCAAGUCGCGUGAAGGAAGACGGUUCUAUGAAUUGUAAACUUCUUUUGUGCAGGAAUAAAGUGGGUUACGUGUAACCUUUUGUAUGUACUGUACGAAUAAGGAUCGGCUAACUCCGUG